This is a long non-coding RNA of Alexandromys fortis (reed vole), 1279 nucleotides long. RefSeq lists it as uncharacterized. NCBI's taxonomy places the organism in Eukaryota, Metazoa, Chordata, Mammalia, Rodentia, Cricetidae. The transcript is spliced from 3 exons. The record is from RefSeq and is a predicted model, not a curated record.
GUCCAGGGGUGUGCCACAUGCGUUCUGAAGCCCCUGAAAUUGGAGUUACAGACCAUUGUGAGCUGCAGCGUUAGUGCUGGCAACUGAACCCAGGUUCUCUGCAGGAGCAAUCAGUGCUUUAACCUCUGAGUCAUCUCUCCAGCCCAGAGGCCCAUCUCUGACCUUGACAUCCUGUCACCAGGAUACUGGAACCUCGACUCCACAGAAGCAACCGUGACCUUCCUCAGAUUGUCUAAUGGCCCCAUCUAGAUGAUCUCAGGGAGGGAGGGAGGGAAGGAAGAGAGGAAAAGACAGCAGGAAUAGCAUGGUUAUUCAUAGCUUUAGAAGAUCUCUGGGAAUUUCUGGAAUGUUCUGUUUGUCUCUACCCCCACCCCCUUUGUUGUUGCUGCUGAAGGUCCAGGGAGAACUGACAUGCAGUUCUCAUUCUCUGCAUCCCCCAAAUGCUUUGCCAGCUCUACACAAGCAUUUUGGUGCAGAGUUUACAAAAUGAAAAGACUGUUAGAAGUCAGGGUGGAUGGAUAUGUUUCAAUAUGAUCUCUUGGCAUCCGCUCAGCCAAGGUGGCCCCUAGGUGUGGAGGGCGACGCACAUUCAAUGUCCUUUCACACCUCCUUCCACACUCAAGAGAUGCUCUGCUCAGCAACAUGCCAACUGGCUGGAUGCUGCUCUGUUCCCUUCUGCCGGCCUCUCUCAGCACAGGCUUUCAGCCUCAAAAAAGCGAGGUGUGUGGGCCUCUCCCUCCCUGUCCCAGAAUGAGCAGGUGUGGCAGAACUGCCUGGGAGCAGGCUUGCUUCAAAAAAAUAAUAGCUUCGAGAGUUGGCGCCUCCUGCACUCCAAAGAUGACAGCUCUCAGAGUCUUGCCCUGACCCACCAGGACUGUGGAAUGGAGAAGGGGGGGCACAUGGAGGAGAAGAAAAACUCUUGACACUUGCUGCAAAAAUCAGGCAAGACACCAGCUGCUGAAGGAGCCUGGGAAAAUCAGCUUGCCAGAAAUGAGCAGAUCUGCAGGUCAGCACAUAGGCAGCACCUUGCUCACUUGCCCAUAACGUACUUCACAGAGCCGAAGAACUUUCUGGAAAAGCAAAAAACUGCUUGUCAUUGCCCCAGGACUCUGAAUAUGGUUGAGUUCCGGUAAGAGCUCACUGGGCAGAGGAGUUCCCUCUUCAGUGUUACACAGCUUCACGGCAUUGCCACCAGAAUUGCACAAACUCGGUCCAGGCUGUGGAGCAAUAGGAAGUCAAAUGAACUCUCCGAGGCACACAGCUGGAAGACAGCAGGAGA